Molecule: ribosomal RNA, 112 nt
Filed under: Caerostris darwini
Lineage: Eukaryota; Metazoa; Arthropoda; Arachnida; Araneae; Araneidae
Source: RNAcentral
AACGGCCGUACCAUGCUGAAUAUACCGGUUCUCGUUAGAUCACCGAAGUUAAGCAUCGUUGGGCGCGGUCAGUACUUGGGUGGGUGACCACCUGGGAACACUGCGUGCCGUU